ACUCCUACGGGAGGCAGCAGUGGGGAAUAUUGCACAAUGGGCGCAAGCCUGAUGCAGCAACGCCGUGUGAGUGAAGAAGGUUUUCGGAUCGUAAACUCUGUCCUAAGGGAAGAAACAAAUGACGGUACCUUAGGAGGAAGCCCCGGCUAACUACGUGCCAGCAGCCGCGGUAAUACGUAGGGGGCAAGCGUUAUCCGGAAUCACUGGGCGUAAAGGGUGCGUAGGCGGCUUAGCAAGCCAGGGUGAAAGGCAUUGGCUCAACCAAUGUAAGCCUUUGGAACUGUUAAAGCUUGAGUGCAGGAGAGGUAAGUGGAAUUCCUAGUGUAGAGGUGAAAUUCGUAGAUAUUAGGAGGAACACCAGUGGCGAAGGCGACUUACUGGACUGUAACUGACGCUGAU
Molecule: ribosomal RNA, 399 nt
Filed under: uncultured bacterium
Lineage: Bacteria
Description: bacterial SSU rRNA
Rfam family: Bacterial small subunit ribosomal RNA
Source: RNAcentral